GAGGGUAUAGCUCAGUGGUAGAGUGUAUGCUUGGCAUGCAUGAGGUCAUGAGUUCACUCUUCAGUACAUCUG
This 72-nucleotide transfer RNA is filed under the name Camelus bactrianus (Bactrian camel). It matches the Rfam family "tRNA". Rfam says of the family: Transfer RNA (tRNA) molecules are approximately 80 nucleotides in length. The record is from Rfam by way of RNAcentral. Lineage: Eukaryota; Metazoa; Chordata; Mammalia; Artiodactyla; Camelidae. RNAcentral also lists the same sequence under 2 other names.